CAGAGGCCCGCCCAGCGAUCUGAGCAUGUGUGGACGUCAAUCUUGCAGCCCCUCUUCCAGGCCCCCUCCCCAGCCUUGCAGGGCUCAGGUUACCCCUGGCCUUUCCUAAAGGUCACUCAUUCCUCUUGACGUUUGCAAAAGGGGAAUGUAAUCCUGGGGUGGGGGGAGACCCCUCAUCUGUAGCCCCUCCCUUGCUCCUCCCAAAGGGUGGAAUUAGAACAGGGACUGUUAUUGGGAGACAGAAAGUGGGGGAUAGUAGUUGACCUUUGGUAAGGGGGCAGGUGCCCAGGGCCAGAGGCUUCUGCUUCAGGCUGUAGUGGGCACUUGGCUGCCAGCCCAGUGUGAAGGGGGGAGGAUGGAGAGAAAGAG
RNAcentral lists this long non-coding RNA (369 nucleotides) under Homo sapiens (human). RNAcentral describes it as "HSALNT0236318". Lineage: Eukaryota; Metazoa; Chordata; Mammalia; Primates; Hominidae. The record is from RNAcentral.